This 263-nucleotide long non-coding RNA is filed under the name Elaeis guineensis (African oil palm). RNAcentral describes it as "long non-coding RNA (EGUI_LNC082599)". Lineage: Eukaryota; Viridiplantae; Streptophyta; Magnoliopsida; Arecales; Arecaceae. The record is from RNAcentral.
GCUGCCUUCUCAUAAACCACAUUCUUCCUCUCAAUCUGCUUCUCGAUGCUCUUAUGCAUGGACUUAACCAACUUGACUUUUUUCUUUCCAUCUAUACAAACCCUUUCGCUGAUUAAAAGUGGUGCCAAAUCAAGUGGGGUGAUAGGAUUGAACCCAUAAACCAUCUCAAAAGGAGAAUGCUUAGUAGUGCUAUGAAUACUAUGAUUGUAAGCAAACUCAACAUAAGUCAAACACUCAUCCCAAUUCUUCAUAUUCUUGUUAAC